RNAcentral lists this ribosomal RNA (839 nucleotides) under Phycicoccus sp. Its description in RNAcentral is "bacterial SSU rRNA". It matches the Rfam family "Bacterial small subunit ribosomal RNA", at positions 17 to 863 of the family's 1533-position model. The record is from RNAcentral. Lineage: Bacteria; Bacillati; Actinomycetota; Actinomycetes; Micrococcales; Intrasporangiaceae.
UCAUGGCUCAGGACGAACGCUGGCGGCGUGCUUAACACAUGCAAGUCGAACGGUGAUGGUGGGAGCUUGCUCCUACCGGAUCAGUGGCGAACGGGUGAGUAACACGUGAGUAACCUGCCCCAGACUCUGGAAUAACCCCGGGAAACCGGAGCUAAUACCGGAUACGAGACGAAGCUGCAUGGCUAUCGUCUGGAAAGUUUUUCGGUCUGGGAUGGACUCGCGGCCUAUCAGCUUGUUGGUGAGGUAAUGGCUCACCAAGGCGACGACGGGUAGCCGGCCUGAGAGGGCGACCGGCCACACUGGGACUGAGACACGGCCCAGACUCCUACGGGAGGCAGCAGUGGGGAAUAUUGCACAAUGGGCGAAAGCCUGAUGCAGCGACGCCGCGUGAGGGAUGACGGCCUUCGGGUUGUAAACCUCUUUCAGCAGGGAAGAAGCGAAAGUGACGGUACCUGCAGAAGAAGCACCGGCUAACUACGUGCCAGCAGCCGCGGUAAUACGUAGGGUGCGAGCGUUGUCCGGAAUUAUUGGGCGUAAAGAGCUUGUAGGCGGUUUGUCGCGUCUGCCGUGAAAUUUCGGGGCUCAACCCCGAACUUGCGGUGGGUACGGGCAGACUAGAGUGUGGUAGGGGAGACUGGAAUUCCUGGUGUAGCGGUGAAAUGCGCAGAUAUCAGGAGGAACACCGAUGGCGAAGGCAGGUCUCUGGGCCACUACUGACGCUGAGAAGCGAAAGCAUGGGGAGCGAACAGGAUUAGAUACCCUGGUAGUCCAUGCCGUAAACGUUGGGAACUAGGUGUGGGUCUCAUUCCACGAGAUCCGUGCCGCAGCUAACGCAUUAA